RNAcentral lists this ribosomal RNA (216 nucleotides) under Glomeromycotina sp. RNAcentral describes it as "partial small subunit ribosomal RNA". The stretch from base 40 to 216 matches the Rfam family "Eukaryotic small subunit ribosomal RNA", at positions 686 to 864 of the family's 1831-position model. The record is from RNAcentral. Lineage: Eukaryota; Fungi; Glomeromycota.
GGGUCAUUAGGUUGGUCGUGCCACCGGUACGUACUGGUCUCACUGAUUCCUCCUUCCUGAAGAACCGUAAUGCCAUUAAUUUGGUGUUGCGGGGAAACAGGACUGUUACUUUGAAAAAAUUAGAGUGUUUGAAGCAAGCUAACGCUUGAAUACAUUAGCAUGGAAUAAUGAAAUAGGACGAUCGAUCCUAUUUUGUUGGUUUCUAGGAUUGACGUA